AUAUAUAUGGUUUAGGUGGGGAUCUCAACCGUUUCCAAGUUCUCAAACAGGAGGGUUGGGGUGACCACAGGGACUUCCCCUAUAUUUUAUUUUAUUUGUUAUAUUGUCCCAUACAUGAGUAUAUAUGGUUUAGGGGUAAGGAUCUUGACCAUUUCCAAGUUCUCAAACAGAAGGGUGUACAGUGACCUCAGGGACUCCCCCUAUCUUUCAUUUGAAUUGUUAUAUUGUCCCGUACAUGAAUAUAUGGUUAAGAGGUGGCGAUCUCAACGGGUGUCAAAUUCUCAAACAGGAGGGGGUGGGGUGACCCAAGGGACUCCCCCUAUAUUUCAUCUGAUUUGUUAUAUUGUCCCAUACAUGAAUAUAUAUGGUUUAGGGUGGGGACCUGGACCAUUUUCAAAUUCUAAAACAGGAAGGGUGGGGUGACCCCCAGUGACUCUUCCUAUAUUUCAUUUGAUUUUUCAUAUAGUCACAAACAUGAAUAUAUAUGGUUAAGGGGUGUGGAUCUCGACCGUUUCCAAGUUCUCAAACAGGAGGGGGUGGUGUAACUCCAGGGACUCCCCCUAUAUUUCAUUUUAU
RNAcentral lists this long non-coding RNA (576 nucleotides) under Mytilus galloprovincialis (Mediterranean mussel). Lineage: Eukaryota; Metazoa; Mollusca; Bivalvia; Mytilida; Mytilidae. The record is from RNAcentral.